GGUUAUGGCUCAGUGGUAAAGCGCUUCCAUAGCACGCAUGAGGUACUGAGUUUGAUCCUCAGCACCA
This 67-nucleotide transfer RNA is filed under the name Marmota monax (woodchuck). Its description in RNAcentral is "tRNA.Ala". The record is from RNAcentral. Lineage: Eukaryota; Metazoa; Chordata; Mammalia; Rodentia; Sciuridae.